This is a long non-coding RNA of Astatotilapia calliptera (eastern happy), 1272 nucleotides long. NCBI's taxonomy places the organism in Eukaryota, Metazoa, Chordata, Actinopteri, Cichliformes, Cichlidae. The record is from Ensembl.
GAGGAUUCAUCAGUAUUUGAAGGGGUUGUGAAGGAGAAAAAGAUGUAAUGUAAAGCUGUUCGGUCAAAUUACUAAACUUUUGAUACAGUGCAGGAUGAAUUGAUGUUUUCAUGUUAACACCAAAUUCUGAAUAUCACAGCAGAAAUUAAGACUUGUGUGGCCCAGCUUCGGUGAGCCUGCUCCUAGCUGGCAGGAGUGGCAUCUGGUGUGGUCUUCUGUUGCUGUAGCCCAUCUGCUUCAAGGUUGUGCAUUCAGAGUGGAUCUUCUGCCUACCUUGGUUGUAACGAGUGGUCACUUAAGCCUUCCAAUUACCACAAAGCAGUCUGGCUGUUCUCGUGAAUGGACUGCAGGUCGUCUUGAACAUGGCAACGUGCCUAAAUGCAUUGAGCUUCUGCCAUCUGAUCGGCUAUGUACCUAUUAAAGUGAGAGUAUAUGGACAAACUAGGCGCACUAGCUGAUAGCUACUGCUACCAGUGCUAGUGUUGGGUCCAUAGGGUGCACAGCACAAACUCAUCGACUGGUGAGAGUUACUGCAACCGCUGCUCAAGCGCUGUGUGUGUGUGUGUGUGCGUGCACGCGCGCAUUCACUCAGUUUCUCACGGUCCUUAAGAAGAAAAGAGGCCUUGUCUGGUUCCAUUAGUGACCUGAGGAGCGGCAGCACUCGGUCCUGGCUGCAUGGAGGACAGCGCUUAUUAGACAGCAGUUUAGUCACGAGUAGGAUGUUUAGUUAGAGAGGAAAGUAACAAAAAAGGAGAUUAAUGGAAGUAUAAUAAGGCUAUGUGCUGUCAGCUGUUUCAACCUGUCGGCAGCCACAUUCCUUUUUGUCCGUCUUUGGGACUAAGUAUUAUAUUACCCUUCAAACCGCUUUCGCUCAUGUCUGCCAAACAUGAAGCUACAGCCAGAAGUUGCUGCUGACUGUGGGUUGCACAGCACAAAGACGGGCAGGGAAGAGGGAGCCCACCUUUAUCCAAUGUUCAAAAAGAAAAAAAAUUUUUUCUUAAAAUUCUUAGUUAUCCAGCGGUGAUUUCCCACCUUAAAACCAAAAAUUCACUUUUUUACGGUUCCUUUUCUCUACAGAGUGGACCUUGCAAGUAUCCUUAAUAUGGCCAUCUUGGGCACAUAGCUCUGACUAUAAACACAAGCUCCACCCACCUGAUGUUCAAGCCUGCUUGCAAGGGCCAUCCAAUCAGAACAAAGCUGGCUUGAAAGCUUCAGUUCAUCCAUUGUGGUUCAGACGGUGGGACGAACUGAAGGGCAGCAUGAAAGCCUCGU